RNAcentral lists this ribosomal RNA (468 nucleotides) under uncultured bacterium. RNAcentral describes it as "partial 16S ribosomal RNA". It matches the Rfam family "Bacterial small subunit ribosomal RNA", at positions 28 to 507 of the family's 1533-position model. The record is from RNAcentral.
GACGAACGCUGGCGGCGUGCUUAACACAUGCAAGUCGAACGGAAAGGCCCUGCUUUUGUGGGGUGCGCGAGUGGCGAACGGGUGAGUAACACGUGAGUAACCUGCCCUUGACUUUGGGGUAACUUCAGGAAACUGGGGCUAAUACAGGAUAGGAGCUCCUGCUGCAUGGUGGGGGUUGGAAAGUUCCGGCGGUUGGGGAUGGACUAGCGGCUUAUCAGCUCGUUGGGGGGGUAGUGGCUUCCCAAGGCCUUGACGGGUAGCCGGCCUGAGAGGGUGACCGGCCACAUUGGGACUACGGUACGGCCCAGACUCCUACGGGAGGCAGCAGUGGGGAAUAUUGCACAAUGGGCGGAAGCCUGAUGCAGCAACGCCGCGUGCGGGAUGACGGCCUGCGGGUUGUAAACCGCUUUCGCCUGUGACGAAGCGUGAGUGACGGUAAUGGGUAAAGAAGCACCGGCUAACUACGUG